GUGUGAGAGAUUCACCAAGAAGAGGCAGAGAGGGAAGAGACGAGAGGAAGAGGCCUGCCUCCAGAUCCUGUCUGAGGCUGUGUUGUGUAGAGGGGAGGAGACACACCUCGCUGCUAGAAAAAUAUUACCCUGACAGCAAGAAACUGCCUUUGCUCAAGAUACUGCAUCAUCCUCAGACUUCCCAUCCACCUGCUGAUCUGCUAAUCUUCAAAUUUCAGUUUCUGAUCCAUAAUUUUGCUUUUACUGGACUCGUUUCAUCCUGUCCUGCAGGAUCCGAGAAAAGGUGCUGCAUCUCAAAUCUAACCAACGGGUGCCGGCCCGGUAGGUCCAACAGUCUGCGAAUGUCUGCAACAACAUGACCAGCGUCAACUCUCCAGCCAGCCUGCUCGCUCGCAACCACUUCUACAGAAGUUUGCCCUCAAGCCCAGAAGCGAUGAGCCCAACCUUGAGCCGUCAGAACGACUCCAACAUGCACAAACAGAACCAGGUCACCCUUUGGAUCAGCAUGGGAGCUCCUCCUGGACUACCCCUUGCCAUGGGAACCAAAGGACUAUCGGUGGAGAUUGUUCUGGGUCCGUCUCCCAGCACCAAACGCCGCAAACCCAGAGACCAACACGUCAAGUAGACAAAGCAGAAGCAUCUGAUUGGUUAACAGACUGACCAUCAUCUUUGAUGCCCAGGAGUUCACAGAAAAUACAUAAACAUGCAGGGAAACGGUGAACCUUUGCGGACAGAAGCCUGCUGAUUGAUUUCAUUCGCUGAGUUAAAUUUGAGGCCUUGUUCCUGAAUCCUUUCAAACACCGAGUUCCCCAAAGUAAAGCAUGCAACAAAUGCAGGAAUGAGAGUUUGUGUAACUAUCCAUCUAUAUGUUUGUCCCCGUCAUAAAUGUAUUUUUUUAACUUUG
Molecule: long non-coding RNA, 904 nt
Organism: Fundulus heteroclitus (mummichog)
Lineage: Eukaryota; Metazoa; Chordata; Actinopteri; Cyprinodontiformes; Fundulidae
Exons: 4
Source: RefSeq, a predicted model, not a curated record